Gallus gallus (chicken) is the source of this 1461-nucleotide long non-coding RNA. RefSeq lists it as uncharacterized. The transcript has 3 exons. NCBI's taxonomy places the organism in Eukaryota, Metazoa, Chordata, Aves, Galliformes, Phasianidae. The record is from RefSeq and is a predicted model, not a curated record.
GCACUGCUCGGCAGCAAAGCAAAGCAACCACAGCUGCAGGAUGGUGUCCUUCAACGUCUGAAUGCAUCCCCAGCCUGGUGUGAACAGGAUGCUACACUGCACCUCCCUCCCCUCCGGAAAGGAAACAGCACAGCAAGUGCUUCAACCCAAACCCUGUGCUAUUCAGCCCAAUGCUGCGUGCCUGAGAGCAGCUCACAAACACACACGGAGCCAUCCUGCUGCCAGGUCCCAUCAGGCCAGCUGCUUUUCAAAUGGGUUCAUGUCCCACCAGACUUGGAACAGUUGCAUUGAAUCUUCAGUCCAAAUGGAGCACCACUGAAUUCCCCCCUUUUUCUGGAUGUACCACUAUCCCUUGUCAUGUUCCUUUGAAUACCACCAAAAUAAAGCCCUUAUCUCUUUUUCUCAUGUUCUAAUCACAAUAAAUACGGCCUCAAUAAAUAGAGAGAGCCCUACCCAGCCCACCACAGACUGCAGCACCAAGGGGAUGUUGUACUCCUGUAGCUGGAACAGCUCUGAUGGCUCACAGUCCACUGUGAAGCUGUUGGUGUCAUUGUUGAACUCCACUGGACAAGUGAAGCACCGGUACCCAGACAUCACAUAGGACAGCUUCAAAAGGAGAGAAAUAAAGAUGCAGUAAGAAAAAUCAUGAUUAACAUCAUCCUGAGCAAUGAGGCAGAGGUGCUCUUAAGGGAAAAGGCCACUCAAGGAGACAUGGUGAGGAGAGACCUACACUGCCAGCUUCACUAAGAAGAUUACUUUCCUGAGAACAGUAAUUGGUUGAAGGCAGAGUAAGCAUUUCUGUUUAGUAAUUGCAUCUGUUCAGCAAGCAGUGAACAGAGCCCUUUAGAAACAAAUUGAGACAGGUUGCACUAUUUGGCUGAGCAGAUGGAUGCAACCACACACACAGAUCGACACAAAACCAGGUAAUAUUCCAAGAGCACAGAGUUCCCCACACAGCCUUUGAAAUAGGCAUAUAUUCAACAGCAGGCCCAGAUGCUUUGGCUGGACCCAUGUAGAGCAUCUGUGGAAAUGCUGUAGUCUCUCCCCUUCAAGGUACAAGAGAGAAUGUUCAAGGAUAACUGAAGAAAUGAAUGUGUCACAGGGUCUGAUGGGGACUAAAAACCUCCUGCAGUGUCCUGCUCCAUCAGCAGGAUCUCCACACAGUGUAAAACAGAACCAAAGACUAGUUCAAAUCCAGGUCAGUAGGAAAAAGGUAAAUUUUCUGAGAAGAGCCAGUAGAGCUUAAAGUUUGUGUGCACUUUUUAGCCAAAACUCCGUCACCUUACAUAGGGAAGCCAAAGGAAUAAGCAGCACGAUUGCUACUUACCAGUAACCCAAACAAAACGGUGGCAAAAAACCCUCCAAUAAAACCCUCCCAGGUCUUCUUUGGGGACAGCUGCCAGAGGGAGAGAAAGAAGGGGAUCGUUACUAACUGUGCACCUAUGCUCGCUGCAACACAGA